RNAcentral lists this ribosomal RNA (746 nucleotides) under Alteromonas sp. 11.5.053CC8. RNAcentral describes it as "bacterial SSU rRNA". It matches the Rfam family "Bacterial small subunit ribosomal RNA", at positions 87 to 835 of the family's 1533-position model. Lineage: Bacteria; Pseudomonadati; Pseudomonadota; Gammaproteobacteria; Alteromonadales; Alteromonadaceae. The record is from RNAcentral.
GAUGACGAGUGGCGGACGGGUGAGUAAUGCUUGGGAACUUGCCUUUGCGAGGGGGAUAACAGUUGGAAACGACUGCUAAUACCGCAUAAUGUCUUCGGACCAAACGGGGCUUCGGCUCCGGCGCAAAGAGAGGCCCAAGUGAGAUUAGCUAGUUGGUAAGGUAACGGCUUACCAAGGCGACGAUCUCUAGCUGUUCUGAGAGGAAGAUCAGCCACACUGGGACUGAGACACGGCCCAGACUCCUACGGGAGGCAGCAGUGGGGAAUAUUGCACAAUGGGGGAAACCCUGAUGCAGCCAUGCCGCGUGUGUGAAGAAGGCCUUCGGGUUGUAAAGCACUUUCAGUUGUGAGGAAAAGUUAGUAGUUAAUACCUGCUAGCCGUGACGUUAACAACAGAAGAAGCACCGGCUAACUCCGUGCCAGCAGCCGCGGUAAUACGGAGGGUGCGAGCGUUAAUCGGAAUUACUGGGCGUAAAGCGCACGCAGGCGGUUUGUUAAGCUAGAUGUGAAAGCCCCGGGCUCAACCUGGGAUGGUCAUUUAGAACUGGCAGACUAGAGUCUUGGAGAGGGGAGUGGAAUUCCAGGUGUAGCGGUGAAAUGCGUAGAUAUCUGGAGGAACAUCAGUGGCGAAGGCGACUCCCUGGCCAAAGACUGACGCUCAUGUGCGAAAGUGUGGGUAGCGAACAGGAUUAGAUACCCUGGUAGUCCACACCGUAAACGCUGUCUACUAGCUGUGUGUGCCUUUAA